Molecule: ribosomal RNA, 253 nt
Filed under: uncultured bacterium
Lineage: Bacteria
Description: partial 16S ribosomal RNA
Rfam family: Bacterial small subunit ribosomal RNA
Source: RNAcentral
UACGUAGGGGGCGAGCGUUGUCCGGAUUUAUUGGGCGUAAAGAGCGUGUAGGCGGCCAGGUAGGUCAGCUGUGAAAACUCGAGGCUCAACCUCGAGAUGUCGGCUGAAACCAUCUGGCUAGAGUCCGGAAGAGGAGAAUGGAAUUCUCGGUGUAGCGGUGAAAUGCGUAGAUAUCGAGAGGAACACCUGCGGCGAAGGCGGGUAGCUGGGCCGACACUGACGCUGAGGCGCGAAAGCCAGGGGAGCGAACGGG